Molecule: ribosomal RNA, 368 nt
Filed under: uncultured bacterium
Lineage: Bacteria
Description: bacterial SSU rRNA
Rfam family: Bacterial small subunit ribosomal RNA
Source: RNAcentral
AAAGGGGCUUCGGCUCCGAGUAAAGUGGCGCACGGGUGAGUAACACGUAGGUAACCUGCCUCUAAGAUUGGGAUAACCUGUCGAAAGACGAGCUAAUACCAAAUAAGACCACAGUCUCCUCGGGGACAGGGGUCAAAGGUAGCCUCUAUUUAUAAGCUAUCGCUAAGAGAUGGGCCUGCGUACCAUUAGCUAGUUGGUGAGGUAACGGCUCACCAAGGCAAAGAUGGUUAGCUGGUCUGAGAGGAUGAUCAGCCACACUGGGACUGAGACACGGCCCAGACUCCUACGGGGGGCAGCAGUGAGGAAUUUUCGGCAAUGGGCGCAAGCCUGACCGAGCAACGCCGCGUGCAGGAGGACGCUUUUCGGAG